This is a non-coding RNA of Euryarchaeota archaeon RBG_16_68_12, 84 nucleotides long. NCBI's taxonomy places the organism in Archaea, Methanobacteriati, Methanobacteriota. The record is from Rfam.
GCGGGGAUGGCCCAGCUCGGUAAGGCGCUGGAUUGCUAAUCCAGUCCUCGAAAGAGGUCGGGGGUUCAAAUCCCCCUCCCCGCG